GCCUGGCUGGCUCAGUCAGAAGAGCACUGGACUCUCGCUCUCAGAGUCGUGAGUUCGAGCCCCACGUUAGGCG
Non-coding RNA from Zalophus californianus (California sea lion), 73 nucleotides. The record is from the annotation of a RefSeq genome assembly. NCBI's taxonomy places the organism in Eukaryota, Metazoa, Chordata, Mammalia, Carnivora, Otariidae.